This 587-nucleotide ribosomal RNA is filed under the name Jahnula rostrata. RNAcentral describes it as "eukaryotic LSU rRNA". It matches the Rfam family "Eukaryotic large subunit ribosomal RNA", at positions 334 to 943 of the family's 3401-position model. Lineage: Eukaryota; Fungi; Ascomycota; Dothideomycetes; Jahnulales; Aliquandostipitaceae. The record is from RNAcentral.
ACGAUGCGCACAAGUAGAGUGAUCGAAAGAUGAAAAGCACUUUGGAAAGAGAGUUAAAAAGUACGUGAAAUUGUUGAAAGGGAAGCGCUUGCGACCAGACUCGACCGUUGCGGAUCAACCCUCCCCGCGGAGGGCUCACUCCGCCUCGGUCGGGCCAGCAUCGGUUCCAGCGGUCGGAUAAAGGCGUCGGGAAUGUGGCUCCUCUCGGGGAGUGUUAUAGCCCGUCGUGCAAUACGACCCGCCGGGACCGAGGACCGCGCUUAGGCAAGGAUGCUGGCGUAAUGGUCGUAAGCGGCCCGUCUUGAAACACGGACCAAGGAGUCUAACAUCUAUGCGAGUGUUCGGGUGUCAAACCCCUGCGCGUAAUGAAAGUGAACGGAGGUCGGAGCCCUAGGGCGCACGAUCGACCGAUCCUGAUGUCUUCGGAUGGAUUUGAGUAAGAGCAUAGCUGUUGGGACCCGAAAGAUGUGCGAGCUAUACCUGAGUAGGCCGAAGCCAGCGGAAACGCUGGUGGAGGGUCGCAGCGGUUCUGACGUGCAAAUCGAUCGUCAAACUUGGGUAUAGGGGCGAAAGACUAAUCGAGCCAU